AUGCGGAUGGUGGGGCUGCGCCCCACCCUACGGUGGUGGGUAGGGCGGGGUUCACCCCGCCACCCGGGUU
This 70-nucleotide transfer RNA is filed under the name Pseudoprimorskyibacter insulae. Its description in RNAcentral is "Primorskyibacter insulae tRNA-Arg". Lineage: Bacteria; Pseudomonadati; Pseudomonadota; Alphaproteobacteria; Rhodobacterales; Paracoccaceae. The record is from RNAcentral.